RNAcentral lists this ribosomal RNA (190 nucleotides) under Bifidobacterium breve. Its description in RNAcentral is "partial 16S ribosomal RNA". It matches the Rfam family "Bacterial small subunit ribosomal RNA", at positions 1348 to 1533 of the family's 1533-position model. The record is from RNAcentral. Lineage: Bacteria; Bacillati; Actinomycetota; Actinomycetes; Bifidobacteriales; Bifidobacteriaceae.
AUCAGCAACGUCGCGGUGAAUGCGUUCCCGGGCCUUGUACACACCGCCCGUCAAGUCAUGAAAGUGGGCAGCACCCGAAGCCGGUGGCCUAACCCCUUGUGGGAUGGAGCCGUCUAAGGUGAGGCUCGUGAUUGGGACUAAGUCGUAACAAGGUAGCCGUACCGGAAGGUGCGGCUGGAUCACCUCCUUU